GCAAGUGUAGCUCAGUGGUAGAACAUGUGCUUAGCAUGCACAAGGUGGCUGGGUUCAAUCCCCAGCACCUCCA
Molecule: transfer RNA, 73 nt
Filed under: Camelus bactrianus (Bactrian camel)
Lineage: Eukaryota; Metazoa; Chordata; Mammalia; Artiodactyla; Camelidae
Also listed under: 2 other names
Rfam family: tRNA
About the family: Transfer RNA (tRNA) molecules are approximately 80 nucleotides in length. Their secondary structure includes four short double-helical elements and three loops (D, anti-codon, and T loops). Further hydrogen bonds mediate the characteristic L-shaped molecular structure. tRNAs have two regions of fundamental functional importance: the anti-codon, which is responsible for specific mRNA codon recognition, and the 3' end, to which the tRNAs corresponding amino acid is attached (by aminoacyl-tRNA synthetases). tRNAs cope with the degeneracy of the genetic code in two manners: having more than one tRNA (with a specific anti-codon) for a particular amino acid; and 'wobble' base-pairing, i.e. permitting non-standard base-pairing at the 3rd anti-codon position.
Source: Rfam by way of RNAcentral